RNA transcript from Arachis duranensis, 4565 nucleotides. RefSeq lists it as uncharacterized. The record is from RefSeq and is a predicted model, not a curated record. NCBI's taxonomy places the organism in Eukaryota, Viridiplantae, Streptophyta, Magnoliopsida, Fabales, Fabaceae. The transcript has 3 exons.
CACAUCCCCUCCUGGCUCUUCUUUGUGUGUUGCUUGUGUCACUUCGUACCGAACCCUAAUGUACAGAAAUCACAGAAAUCACUCCAUUUCGACCUCGCCUUAGCUUUGCAGGUAACCCUAAUCUCUUCCACGCCUUUAUCACUCUUCCUAUUCGCUGCUACAUUGAUGCCAGCCUUUCCUCCUGUUUGCCAUUUUUCAUCAAACUUUUUUGCAUCUCGUCCGAUUCACCACCUUUCCUUGAACUUUGCAACACACUGUCGUCGUUCUAGUCCUGGUAUGGUUUCUGUCAUCCAAUUCUUAUUGUUUUUGCUGUUUUCUUACGCAUGCAUAGCUAUUUUGUUUUAUUUUUCUUUUGCUUUGUUUCUUUUUUUCUUUCUCCUUCGUUUUCCUUCUCACACUUCUAGAUCUGCUACAACUCAUAGAAUUUUUCUGUUCCAGAAUAUCGAGAAUCUAUCCUCAUAUUCGGUUAAUUUCUGAACUUAUCACUUUCAGUUUUCUGAAUUUUUAUUUUCAUGUUUGAAAUACUGAUAGUGUAGAUUUUGUUAUUCAAUUAGUUCAUUCUUUUUUCAAUUAUUGAGAUGAUUAUAUGGCUUUAAAUCUAAAAUAUGAGCAAUACAAAUCUAUUUGUAAAAUAUUUCCUAUUGUAACGUUUUAGUUUGGAGUGUUCUAUUUUACUCACUCUGAAUUCUACAUGCAUCAUAGAUCAACUUAUUCUUCAAUCCUAUGCAGAACAAGAGCUAAUAGAAUAGCAGUAAUGUCUGUGAAGAUUUUACAUAGGAAUUAGAAUGUGUAGAUGGCAUAUGCAACAUUAAGAUAAAACUAUAUUUAUUAACUUGAUGACCUUUUUUAUUUAAGAAUCAUUUGAGAUCUCACGUGGCCAAGGUUGUGGUGGUGAACACUAUUAAUCAACUUUUCUUUCUUUUUUCCCCUUCAAUUUUGUAAAAGUAGAGAAUGACUUUAAAAUCCAUGUUCAAUCAUGUCAUCUCAUGGAAUGUAUGGAUUUUCUCCGUUGUCUUGUAAAUUCAAGAGCUCGAUAAACAAUAUGCUAAGCUAGAUAUGCUUUUGAGAAGGCUCAAGGUAAGCAUUCUCACCCUUAAACACACUUGUAACAAAAAAUUUACAUUGAUAAUGAAUCGGUUUUGUUGUUUUUAUGAUGAACACUAAGAUAUACUUGUACUAGUGUCUUAACAUAAAUAUGAUAAAUACAAAAGCGGUCAAUCCAGGUAAAAUAUUGAUAUUAAGGGUUAUACAACCAUAUAAAUACUUUUCUUCUUGAAUUUAUCCCAAUACACUUCAUAUUUUUGUGGAUGUAGGGUUGGGAUUCCAUGUUGAAUUUACUUGGUUUGAAGCUUUGAACUACAUACAGAAAAGGGAAGAAAGGAUAGCUAAGUAAGAUAUUUUCACUUAACAUAAUUUGUAUAGCUAAAACAUCAAGAUCAAUCUGCCUUAUAUGCCCUUCCAGGUUUUCUUCUGAAAUUUUAAGCAACAAUAUAUGCCUUACUUAAAUGGAAUGGUUUAAAGGACAAUGGAUUGGAACAAAAUCUUUAGUAAAAUUGUAGCCCAAGAUCCUCAUGUUUUCUGUGCUAAACAUCGUCUGCAUCAAUGACCACCAUGAGUGUUUUAUUAUACAUCUCAAAUUAAGUGAUAAACAUGAACUGAACUACUCAAUUUUACUUAGACAUUAACAUUAGUACUAUGGCUUGGAGCUGAACUGAACAUGGUUAGACUAAAAGGUCGCAGUUGAUAAUUGAUCAGUGUAUAGAAUUUCUCUGGCUUGUAAGUUGGAAUACUUGGUCACUUACCAAGUCCUCAUUAAAAGAAAAUAUAGCCUGAGCAUUUUGAGCAUUGUUGUGUUAUAAAAGGAUGGUAUCUAGUCAACGGGUGGUUCAAAAUUUGAAACUAUGUCACAUCAUAUUGGCCUAGGAACAAUUAUAUAUAUGCACUAUGCAGAUACUUGUGACUGUUAGUUAUGUAAUUGAUUAUGUGAAGAUUUUAACUUCUUUAAUUUAUUCUACUUUGGCAAUCAAUUGUGAAAAAUCUUUGCCCUUUUAUUCUCUUUUCUUUUUGUCUAGACGGAGGAGGGGGAGGGGGAGGGGGAAUGAGUUUCUCUUAUUUGCUUUUCCAUUUGAAGUUUGAAAAUAAUGCUAAUUGGUUUUAAUAAUAAUAAUGUUGCAAAUUCAAAUUUAGGACAUGGCUUUUUUAUUUCAGGCAAAUAGAUGAGUACAAUCAGUCAUUUCAUUAAUUAAAGCGCAGAUCAAGCUGGAAGAAUGUGGAGAUUCCUAUCUUGAAAGCUAGUGCAAGAAUUGCAUCUCGACUUAAUUAUGUUUGUCCUCAGUUCUUUCCAGCCCCAGGAUUUAGUUCCCGCAGCAAAUCAGACAAAGGAGGAUUUAGUUCCCAUAGCAAAUCAAAAUAUGAUGAUUCAGGAACCUUGGUUGUGUGAUUCUACUGUUCCUUCUUGUUUGGAAAAUAUAAGGAGAUAUGACUUGGAGAUAGUUCUUCUUGGAGCCGGUUCAUCCCAACAAUCCAAGUACAGAAACGUGAGUUCAAUAUAUAUAAAUAUUUUCUCAAAAAGAGGUUUGCUCUUGGAUUCUGGUGAAGGAACCUUGGGAUAACUCAAAAGAAGGCAUGUCCAUCUGCAUUCUUUAAACACAUUUUUACCGUACUGCAUUUGUUUUCUAUUUUAAUCUGAAUAGAUAAUUAACACAUCCUUCAGAAACAGAUAUGGCGUAAGUGGUGCUGAUGAUGUUGUGAGAGCUGUAAGAUGCAUUUGGAUUUCACAUAUCCAUGCUGAUCACCACACUGGCUUGGCUAGGAUCCUUGCUCUGCGCCGUGAAUUGCUGAAGGGGGUGCCUCAUGAACCAGUUCUUGUCGUAGGGCCAAGGCAGCUUAAGAGAUAUUUAUAUGCUUACCAAAGACUCGAAGAUUUGGAUAUGCUAUUUUUAGAUUGCAAGCACACCACAGCAGCUUCAUUGGAUGGUUUUUAGGAUGGCUGUGACCUGGAAAAUAAUAAUAGAUUUAGGAGGUAAUCCAGGAAGCUGGUCUGAAAUCCAUGAUGAGUCGAGAUCUGUGACCAAGGCUCCUGCCAUGAUGGGUUAGUAUAAUUCUGAUAUGUUUUCUUAGUUUUUUCCUAUACAAUUUGCAUGGUUUAUGUCAUGUGCUUCUUUUGAGCUAUAGAUUGGGUCUAGUUUCAUUAUCAUAAAUAUAAAUUCCAUACUGAAUAAAUAAAUGAACAAUAAACAUGCUAAUGCUUAUUAAUCCACUUUUCUUUUUAUUUAUUUUAUAGUUUGAUUCCAUUGAUUUUCUUUGACGUGGAGUUAACUUUUUGGUAUUCCCUGUUUUUCAUGGUUGUUAGUAACGGGCACAAGAGCUGAUGAAGAGACAAUUGACAGAUUAAUUGAGACUGGAGACAGUGAGUACAUCUUUUAGAAGGCAAUUCAGGAACAAGGAAGAGGACAUGUUUGUCUCAUUCUGAUACUUUCUCCAUCUCUUCCUCUUCAUUUUCUUAUUUAAUUUUCUAGUUCUUUUAUGUAUUAUUUAAGUUUUUUUUAACUCUAUAAGAUAUAUGUUAUUUUUGUUAACAUACCUGAAAGUUCAUGACAAGAUAGAUUUUCCAUGUUUUGAUUGCAGAUUAUCUAUAGUGUUCCCUUUGCUGUCACAGCGGAGUUGACUGUUGAUUCAGGUGGUGGCCAACGUUAGUAUGCAAUGCUGAAGAUGUGUGCUUAAUAUUUGAUCAACUAAGAUAAGUUUCUGAUUUCAUGACAUUCAAUUGUAUGUGCAGGAUUGGCUAUAAGAGUUCUAAAUCUUCCAAUCAUUGUUCCACAGGUAAUUUAUUAUUCUCAAAUAUUGUUGUUAUGAGUCCACUCAUGGAUUAGACUCUUGUGCAAGGGCUACUUGAUUUUGUUUUGUUUUGCAUAAGAUAAAAUUAGUUUUGAAAAUUAAAUUUAAAUUAAUUUAUUUAACUUGCUAAAAAUAUGUUUAAAGCGGAAAAAAUUAGCUUCCAAUUUUGUUGCAAUAAAUUUAUUUGACUUGCUAAAAAUAUGUUUAAAGCGGAAAAAAUUUGCUUCCAAUUUUGUUGCAAUAAAUAUUGUUUAUGCUAACUUUAUAAUAGUUUGUUACGUGAGCUAGAUGAGAUAAAAUCAGUUUUAAAAUUUAAAUUUAAAUUAAAUAUUUAUGUGGAAAUUGAGUAUUCUGGGUUUAUUUAUGUGGAAAUUGAGUGAUUAGAGUGGUGAGAAAACAAGACUACAACGGCUUGGGGUAGUAUUAAGCUGUAUCCACUUGCCCCUUUUUCUUUGUUUUCUCUUAUUUUGGAGAUUUAAUUUUUGUACUUUUUCAUGUACUUUGCAAAAAAUCAAUACUCUUUUGAGUCAAUUUGCUCCAUAUAUUAGGAUGCAUUCUACAUAUUGUACUAGUCAUGGUUAGUCCUAAUGGAUUUAAUUGACAUAAUUUUUAUUAGGAUAUUGUGUAAUGAAUUUUUUUGCCAUAACAAGUGAAUCACUUUUAUUAUUGACUUUUUCCCAUGUAUUUUUCUCUGUUGUGUACUUUUACUGACAUGUAGUAUUUUGAAA